This is an RNA transcript of Rosa chinensis, 793 nucleotides long. It is a transcript of the gene named glucose-6-phosphate isomerase 1, chloroplastic, with no coding region annotated. NCBI's taxonomy places the organism in Eukaryota, Viridiplantae, Streptophyta, Magnoliopsida, Rosales, Rosaceae. The transcript is spliced from 4 exons. The record is from RefSeq and is a predicted model, not a curated record.
UGGAGGCUGAUUGCUGUUCAUUUACUCAUUUGCAUUUGACAGUGGGAUGUUACCAUGUCUUCAAAAAGUUAUUUAUAUUUUUGCACUUUUCCAGUGCCUGAUUGACCAAUGUGCUUAUUUUUCAUGUUCAUUUUACUCUAGCGGCAGAUUUUUUAUCGUCUCAUUUUAAUUGUUUUAUGCCAUUUAUUUCUCAUGCUCUUCUGUUUCUGUGUAGGGUGUGGCUAUCACUCAAGAAAAUUCAUUAUUAGACAACACUGCUAGAAUUGAGGGCUGGUUAGCUAGAUUCCCAAUGUUUGACUGGGUUGGGGGAAGAACAUCUGAAAUGUCUGCAGUUGGUCUUCUUCCAGCAGCGCUUCAGGGAAUUGACACAUUGCUGAAGUUUCUGAAUCAUAAUGUCAGAGUAUCUGUUCAAUUUUGAUUUUGAGUUGUGAUUCCUGUCAAGUACCUUUUCGUGGCACAUGAGCUAGGUCAUCUAUGAGGGUUAAGAAUAAUCCUGCCGCCUUGCUUGCUUUAUGCUGGUAUUGGGCUACUGAUGGAUUGGGAUCCAAGGAUAUGGUUGUUCUUCCUUACAUGGACAGCCUAUUAUUAUUUAGUCGGUAUUUGCAGCAGUUGGUCAUGGAACCUAUUGGGAAAGAAUUUGACCUUGAUAGUAAUCGGGUAUGUGUAAUUUUUUCUUUUGUUUGGGGAAUAUUAAUCAUCCAGAAAACUCUUAGUUAGGUUGCCAAUAUCAUGUAUUUCUAGCAUUUUGCAUUAUAAUUGUUCAUAAUGGUGCUUGGGAUUCUAGUGUCAAGCU